Larimichthys crocea (large yellow croaker) is the source of this 737-nucleotide long non-coding RNA. RefSeq lists it as uncharacterized. The transcript is spliced from 3 exons. NCBI's taxonomy places the organism in Eukaryota, Metazoa, Chordata, Actinopteri, Sciaenidae. The record is from RefSeq and is a predicted model, not a curated record.
GGGUUGGCCAGGUCCAUGCCAGCGAUGUCAGGGGCGGUGCCGUGGACCUGCAGGUGAACAAACAGGCUGAAGACACCUGCAGACAAGAACCUCGUGACUGGACCAGUCUGAUCUCAGGCUCCGGACCGGACCGGACCGGACCGGACCGGCUUACCGGCCGGGUCAGCACCAACACAGAGCCGGGACAAAGAGGACCGGAAACAGCUGUUAGCUGUUAGCCGCGUUAGCCUCAGCAUGGUGAAGGGCACGUGCUAACCGGCUAACGUGACUUUAAAGUCUCUGACGAACAACUGGACCGGAACCACGCCACGUGACGUCACACAAGAACUCAAGCCCAGUCUGGUUCUGACGUCUAUGACGUCAUUCAUGAUCCGGAUCGAUCCAUUUAUCAGAUUUUCUUACCAUUGACCUCCACGCGCUGCCUGCUGCCAUCCUGACAGGAAGAGACGAAGAUCCUCUGAGAGGAGCAGGAGGAGGUCUCACUCUGAUCAGAGAUCCUCUGAGAGGAGGAGGAGGAGGAGGUCUCACUCUGAUCAGAGGUCCUCUGAGAGGAGGAGGAGGAGCAGGAGGAGGUCUCACUCUGAUCAGAGGUCCACUGAGAGGAGGAGCAGGAGGAGGUCUCACUCUGAUCAGAGAUCCUCUGAGAGGAGGAGCAGGAGGAGGUCUUAAGGAUAUAAAAAGUUGGAUGACCUACAAUUUUCUGAUGUUAAAUUCAGACAAACUGAAGUUCUUGUAAU